AGAACGAACGCUGGCGGCAUGCCUAAUACAUGCAAGUCGAACGAACUCUUCGGAGUUAGUGGCGCACGGGUGCGUAACGCGUGGGAAUCUGCCCCUUGGUUCGGAAUAACAGUUGGAAACGACUGCUAAUACCGGAUGAUGACGAAAGUCCAAAGAUUUAUCGCCAAGGGAUGAGCCCGCGUAGGUA
This 187-nucleotide ribosomal RNA is filed under the name uncultured soil bacterium. RNAcentral's name for it is "partial 16S ribosomal RNA". It matches the Rfam family "Bacterial small subunit ribosomal RNA", at positions 26 to 241 of the family's 1533-position model. The record is from RNAcentral.